This 469-nucleotide ribosomal RNA is filed under the name uncultured bacterium. RNAcentral's name for it is "partial 16S ribosomal RNA". It matches the Rfam family "Bacterial small subunit ribosomal RNA", at positions 28 to 507 of the family's 1533-position model. The record is from RNAcentral.
GACGAACGCUGACGGCGUGCUUAACACAUGCAAGUCGAACGGUGAAGCGAGUGCUUGCACUCGUGGAUCAGUGGCGAACGGGUGAGUAACACGUGAGUAACCUGCCCAUCACUCUGGGAUAAGCACUGGAAACGGUGUCUAAUACUGGAUACGACCAACCCUUGCAUGGGGUGUUGGUGGAAAGAUUUAUCGGUGAUGGAUGGACUCGCGGCCUAUCAGCUUGUUGGCGGGGUAAUGGCCCACCAAGGCGACGACGGGUAGCCGGCCUGAGAGGGUGACCGGCCACACUGGGACUGAGACACGGCCCAGACUCCUACGGGAGGCAGCAGUGGGGAAUAUUGCACAAUGGGCGAAAGCCUGAUGCAGCGACGCCGCGUGAGGGAUGACGGCCUUCGGGUUGUAAACCUCUUUCAGCAGGGAAGAAGCGAAAGUGACGGUACCUGCAGAAGAAGCACCGGCUAACUACGUG